This 301-nucleotide ribosomal RNA is filed under the name uncultured bacterium. RNAcentral describes it as "partial 16S ribosomal RNA". It matches the Rfam family "Bacterial small subunit ribosomal RNA", at positions 509 to 807 of the family's 1533-position model. The record is from RNAcentral.
CAGCCGCCGCGGGAAUACGGAGGGGGCUAGCGUUGUUCGGAAUUACUGGGCGUAAAGCGCACGUAGGCGGCUUGGUAAGUUAGAGGUGAAAGCCUGGAGCUCAACCCCAGAAUUGCCUUUAAGACUGCCGAGCUAGCAGGUGAGAGAGGUAAGUGGAAUUCCGAGUGUAGAGGUGAAAUUCGUAGAUAUUCGGAAGAACACCAGUGGCGAAGGCGGCUUACUGGCUCAUACUGGACGCUGAGGUGCGAAGGCGUGGGGAGCAAACAGGAUUAGAUACCCCCGUAGUCCCUGUCUCUUAUAC